GAACUUUGUACGAUAAGCUUGAGGACCAGAACCUACACUUGGCAUCACAGCUGAGCAAGCACAGGAGUGAUGCUCUUGCCUUUUACAAAGGGAUUGACCAACAAAUCCAAGAGCUAAAGGAAUUUUUACAAGAACUGAACCAUACUGAACUUCAAGGACUGAAGAGGAGUGAAGACCCCAAAAGUGAAAGCAAAGUCAAGGUGCAGAAAGGCACUGAGCAGAGUGAAGAAUUCCCAAAAAGCAACAUUAAAGACUUCCCAGAAGGAAAAUGGCAGCAUCAUUUAGGAUGUAUCCCUGCUGCCUCUGCCUUUGACUUUCAGAUGGAACUUGACAGAGCCAUUGCAGUCCUGGUGAAUGCCCUUUCCCUUUCAUCCUGGAUAGCUGAUGCGGUCAGCUUAUCAGAUCACAUAGCACAGGUUGGUCCAU
This 426-nucleotide long non-coding RNA is filed under the name Vombatus ursinus (common wombat). RNAcentral's name for it is "lncRNA (ENSVURG00010021575.1)". Lineage: Eukaryota; Metazoa; Chordata; Mammalia; Diprotodontia; Vombatidae. The record is from RNAcentral.